CCUUGUGCUCUAAGGUGAGCCUAUGUCAGAUUAGCUAGUUGGUGGGGUAAAGGCCUACCAAGGCGAUGAUCUGUAGCUGGUCUGAGAGGACGAACAGCCACACUGGGACUGAGACACGGCCCAGACUCCUACGGGAGGCAGCAGUGGGGAAUAUUGGACGAUGGGGGCAACCCUGAUCCAGCGAUGCCGCGUGUGUGAAGAAGGCCUGCGGGUUGUAAAGCACUUUCGGUGGGGAAGAGAAGCGCAUAUUGAAGAGGUGUGCGUGGAGACGUUACCUACAGAAGAAGCACCGGCUAACUCUGUGCCAGCAGCCGCGGUAAUACAGAGGGUGCGAGCGUUAAUCGGAGUGACUGGGCGUAAAGGGCGCGUAGGCGGUUAUAUUAGUCUGAUGUGAAAGGUCUGGGCUUAACCUGGGAUUGGCAUUGGAGACGGUAUAGCUAGAGUCUAAGAGAGGGAAGUGGAAUUUCCGGUGUAGCGGUGAAAUGCGUAGAGAUCGGAAAGAACACUCGUGGCGAAGGCGGCUUUCUGGCUUAGCACUGACGCUGAGGCGCGAAAGCGUGGGGAGCGAACAGGAUUAGAUACCCUGGUAGUCCACGCUGUAAACGAUGAGAACU
Molecule: ribosomal RNA, 614 nt
Filed under: uncultured bacterium
Lineage: Bacteria
Description: bacterial SSU rRNA
Rfam family: Bacterial small subunit ribosomal RNA
Source: RNAcentral